CCAGCUCCAAUAGCGUAUAUUAAAGUUGUUGCAGUUAAAAAGCUCGUAGUUGGAUUUGUGGCGGUCGCAUGCGGCCCGGCAUUCGUGUCGGUGUUUGCUCGCGUCGCCAUCCUUGGGUGGAACCUGUGUGGCAUUAGGUUGUCGUGCAGGGGAUGCCCAUCAUUUACUGUGAAAAAAUUAGAGUGUUCAAAGCAGGCUUAUGCCGUUGAAUAUAUUAGCAUGGAAUAAUAAGAUAGGACCUUGGUACUAUUUUGUUGGUUUGCGCACCAAGGUAAUGAUUAAUAGGGACAGUUGGGGGUAUUCGUAUUCCAUUGUCAGAGGUGAAAUUCUUGGAUUUCUGGAAGACGAACUACUGCGAAAGCAUUUACCAAGGAUGUUUUCA
This 382-nucleotide ribosomal RNA is filed under the name uncultured Nitzschia. RNAcentral describes it as "SSU rRNA". It matches the Rfam family "Eukaryotic small subunit ribosomal RNA", at positions 585 to 972 of the family's 1831-position model. Lineage: Eukaryota; Bacillariophyta; Bacillariophyceae; Bacillariales; Bacillariaceae. The record is from RNAcentral.